UGCCAUCCGCCGCGGUAAUACGUGGGGAGCAAGCGUUGUUCGGAUUUACUGGGCGUAAAGAGCUCGUAGGUGGAUGUGUAAGUCGGAUGUGAAAGCCCAGGGCUUAACCUUGGAACUGCAUUCGAUACUGCAUGACUAGAGUGUGGUAGAGGGAAGUGGAAUUUCCGGUGUAGCGGUGAAAUGCGUAGAUAUCGGAAGGAACAUCAGUGGCGAAGGCGGCUUCCUGGACCAACACUGACGCUGAGGUGCGAAAGCGUGGGUAGCAAACAGGAUUAGAUA
This 279-nucleotide ribosomal RNA is filed under the name uncultured bacterium. RNAcentral's name for it is "partial 16S ribosomal RNA". It matches the Rfam family "Bacterial small subunit ribosomal RNA", at positions 506 to 784 of the family's 1533-position model. The record is from RNAcentral.